This 354-nucleotide ribosomal RNA is filed under the name uncultured bacterium. Its description in RNAcentral is "bacterial SSU rRNA". It matches the Rfam family "Bacterial small subunit ribosomal RNA", at positions 1037 to 1390 of the family's 1533-position model. The record is from RNAcentral.
GGUGUUGCAUGGCUGUCGUCAGCUCGUGUCGUGAGAUGUUGGGUUAAGUCCCGCAACGAGCGCAACCCUCAUCCUUAGUUACCAUCAGGUAAUGCUGGGGACUUUAAGGAAACUGCCAGUGAUAAACUGGAGGAAGGUGGGGAUGAUGUCAAGUCAUCAUGGCCCUUAUGGAGUGGGCUACACACGUGCUACAAUGGUGGCUGCAAUGGGCUGCAAAGUCGCGAGGCUAAGCUAAUCCCUUAAAAGCCAUCUCAGUUCGGAUUGUACUCUGCAACUCGAGUGCAUGAAGUUGGAAUCGCUAGUAAUCGUGGAUCAGCACGCCACGGUGAAUACGUUCCCGGGUCUUGUACACAC